GAUGCUGCAUAACAAGCCCAACUAAGAACUUUGUUUGGUUGGGCUUGUUUAGUAUAGCUUACUUCAAUUUCUUCUGCAUGAGGCUAUCAGCCUUUUGUU
This 99-nucleotide microRNA precursor is filed under the name Tannerella forsythia KS16. Lineage: Bacteria; Pseudomonadati; Bacteroidota; Bacteroidia; Bacteroidales; Tannerellaceae. The record is from RNAcentral.